UGACAAACGUCCACUAUAGACUCAAAAAUCUCAAUAUUUUUCGGCAUAAGUUUGCAAUAAUUUUUUUAUUUUUUUAGUUAGAGCUAUAUGUGUCAUUACGUGCUUUUAUUUUACUGAACGUAGCUGCAGUUACCUUGCCAGUCACGCAGGUAACCGUAGCGCCGUAGCCGCCGCAGCGUUGACCCGCCAACCCAAUGCGCUUGAGAUCACGAGAUGGCAGCGUCCGUUAGGGCAUUAGUGCAUUAAUGCCAUAAUGCUUUUUUAAGGUGUUUUGGUGCAUCGGCCCUUCGAAGUCUACGUAAUUAUUCGUAGGCUUUUUUUAUAGGCCGCCUAUUAAUCGGGUUUUCUGGCUCUUCUAUCGUCUGCUGUGGGGCGAUAACAGUGUCAUGUCAACUUUAACGAGCUUAGUUAGAGCUGCCGGCAGGUGCUUCAACGUGAUAUACAAGGGCCUAUCAGCACAGACUGGCCAACUGCUACAGCCCUUAGCUGUAUCAGCAGAGUUACAGCAAGUGAGAAAUAGAGUGCAUUGCUUUUUUCCACGUCCAAGCGAGCACAAGAGAAUAGCCAAGUUUGGCUUCAAGAAGCGCAUCUCGACUAAAAAUGGGAGAAAAGUACUUUUUCGCCGUAUGCUGAAAGGGAGACACGUGUUGUCCCAUUGACAGUUUGUGCCACCAUGCAUUAGAGUAGUAUUGUAUUAGUCGCCAGUAAACUACAUGUUUUGUAUGCA
Non-coding RNA from Dermacentor andersoni, 727 nucleotides. The record is from RefSeq and is a predicted model, not a curated record. NCBI's taxonomy places the organism in Eukaryota, Metazoa, Arthropoda, Arachnida, Ixodida, Ixodidae.